RNAcentral lists this ribosomal RNA (600 nucleotides) under Pseudomonas sp. RNAcentral describes it as "bacterial SSU rRNA". It matches the Rfam family "Bacterial small subunit ribosomal RNA", at positions 54 to 649 of the family's 1533-position model. The record is from RNAcentral. Lineage: Bacteria; Pseudomonadati; Pseudomonadota; Gammaproteobacteria; Pseudomonadales; Pseudomonadaceae.
CAUGCAAGUCGAGCGGAUGAGAGGAGCUUGCUCCUGGAUUCAGCGGCGGACGGGUGAGUAAUGCCUAGGAAUCUGCCUGGUAGUGGGGGACAACGUUUCGAAAGGAACGCUAAUACCGCAUACGUCCUACGGGAGAAAGCAGGGGACCUUCGGGCCUUGCGCUAUCAGAUGAGCCUAGGUCGGAUUAGCUAGUUGGUGAGGUAAUGGCUCACCAAGGCGACGAUCCGUAACUGGUCUGAGAGGAUGAUCAGUCACACUGGAACUGAGACACGGUCCAGACUCCUACGGGAGGCAGCAGUGGGGAAUAUUGGACAAUGGGCGAAAGCCUGAUCCAGCCAUGCCGCGUGUGUGAAGAAGGUCUUCGGAUUGUAAAGCACUUUAAGUUGGGAGGAAGGGCAGUAAAUUAAUACUUUGCUGUUUUGACGUUACCGACAGAAUAAGCACCGGCUAACUCUGUGCCAGCAGCCGCGGUAAUACAGAGGGUGCAAGCGUUAAUCGGAAUUACUGGGCGUAAAGCGCGCGUAGGUGGUUCGUUAAGUUGGAUGUGAAAUCCCCGGGCUCAACCUGGGAACUGCAUUCAAAACUGUCGAGCUAGAGUAU